UCAAUGUGACUUGCGAUUUUAUCCCGGAUGUACAGGUUUUGUCUGACGUCCUGGGAUAUCUUGAAUCAAUCGUUUCUGACUA
Molecule: non-coding RNA, 82 nt
Filed under: Chattonella subsalsa
Lineage: Eukaryota; Raphidophyceae; Chattonellales; Chattonellaceae
Source: RNAcentral